AUAAGGGGUGAACUUAAAGAUUUGUUUUAUACUGUCAGGUUUGAGGUAACGGUAGGUUAUACUUUGUGUAUAAUGUAUUAAGGGGAGAUAAUCAAUCCAAAUGACUUCAUAGGGGGUGAACAAAAAGAUUUGUUUUAUACUGUCAGGUUUGAGGUAACAGUAGGUUAUAAUUUGUGUAUAAUGUAUUAAGGGGAGAUAAUCAAUCCAAAUGACUUCAUAAGGGGUGAAC
Molecule: long non-coding RNA, 229 nt
Filed under: Mytilus galloprovincialis (Mediterranean mussel)
Lineage: Eukaryota; Metazoa; Mollusca; Bivalvia; Mytilida; Mytilidae
Source: RNAcentral